AUGGUUUUACUCUUUCUGAUUGACUGGAAAAGGGAUCAUUCCCCAAGCAGCCUUGGAAGCUUCCUGUUAAAUAUGGCAGAACAACAUUUGGAAGACAAUUGGUUUCCUAUGGAUCAUCAAUUAGAAAAGAGUUACUGGCUAAGAAUGCUCUGUUUGGAUUUCCCAUAAACAAGAAAUAAGUGUCCAUUGUGGUUGAACCAUUAUAUAUUUUGGAGUGUAUUACAACAUCUUAACUAACACAGCUUUAACUAAUACCUUCACUAAUGCCUGAAUUUCUUGUAAACUUUGAUGUGGAAAUCACCCAUGUUUUUCUGACACUUUGAAUCAAAGCCAACUGGGACCACUGGUUGUAAUACCAUACAGCCACACCAUGAUGGUGCAAAUGAAGAUUUUGACCAAAUAAGAAGAUCCUGAGAGCAUAUAAGGACAAUGAGACAAUUAAUUACAUGGGCAUGUCUUUGAGUCCCUGGGAGCUGAAUAAACAGAAGGAAGCAGCAAUAAUUGGAGAGAGCAGAAAGAAAUGAAUUCCAGUGCUGAAGUCAACAAACCAAAUACUUUAGCGUGGAGCCCAAAUCCAGACAUGCAAUAAUGAGAACAGCAGCAAUUUCCUUUGGCCGCCCUGGUUCACACAGUGUAAACCCAAUAAGCAAGAAGAAGCAGAACUUCAAGACCCACAGCGGAAGUGCAAACAAUGCAGCUUUGAAAGUUGGGAAGUUUGUGAGUUGAAAUGUCUGGCCAGCAGCUCCUCAGAACCACCACCAAUCUCAAGGAUGGGUGGCAGCUGGAUAGAUCCAUGUGGGACAGCUCUCUGGAGUCUUGUUAAAGCCAACAUGAUGGAGAUUUGGGCCUACUUUUUCUUCUAUUAGGCGCAGGGUCUCUCUUCUAUCACUUAAGUUCUUCAAAGCAAAGGAAACAAUCAAGAACAUGAAGAGAGAGCCUACAGAAUGGGAGAAAAUCUUUACCACCUGCACUUCAGACAGAGCAUUAGUAUCCAGGAAAUACCAAGAACUCAAAAAA
This is a long non-coding RNA of Sciurus carolinensis (gray squirrel), 1017 nucleotides long. RefSeq lists it as uncharacterized. The transcript has 3 exons. The record is from RefSeq and is a predicted model, not a curated record. NCBI's taxonomy places the organism in Eukaryota, Metazoa, Chordata, Mammalia, Rodentia, Sciuridae.